This is an RNA transcript of Folsomia candida, 1241 nucleotides long. It is a transcript of the gene named arginine/serine-rich protein PNISR-like, with no coding region annotated. Lineage: Eukaryota; Metazoa; Arthropoda; Collembola; Entomobryomorpha; Isotomidae. The record is from RefSeq and is a predicted model, not a curated record. The transcript has 4 exons.
UGGUCAUCAAAUGAUAAUGGUUCAAAGGACAAUUCUGGUCUUGAUUUUACUCUGGAGUCUACCCAGCCUUAUUCUGCCUAUUUGUCAAUGCUGCUUCUGUAGAAUAUUCUUCUGGUGAUAACUCCAUGUCUGACAUGGAGACUGCGAGACGGAAAACCUUGCCCGUCUGGAUUAGGGAAGGAUUGGAGAAAAUGGAGCGUCAAAAAAAGAGGAAAGAAGAAGAGGCUCGACUAGCCGAAGAAAAAGAAGAACAAAGGAAACGUUUACUUGAACAGCAAGAAGCCAACGCAGCAGUUGAGGAAUCUGCAUCGGAACCAAACAACUCUAAAUGGAACGAGUCUGAAUCUCUGCCUAACGAUGAAGAUUCCGCUGCCGACGACGAAGGCGAAAACGACGACGACAACCACAAUGAAGCCGGUUACCAUAAUAAGCGGAACAAUAAUGUCAAGAAGGAACAACCAACGUUGGCAAGUGUGCUGAAAAACUUACCUCCAGACGAGCGAGAAGAUGCUAUUGCAAGUUUUCACAAUUUUCUUUUUACAUAUUCUAUUUUACACAUUAUAUUUCAACUUGAUUCACUUCAAAUGGCUCAACAUAAUAACAAUACAGGUUGUUUUUAUUUUGUUUUAUGAAAUCUUAGAUGUACGCUAUUCGCCGAGUUAGCACAUCCGUAUUGGUUACCGUGACCAAUGCGAUGAUCCUUGAUGCCGCGACAACUGCUUAUAAUCGAGCUAAAAGUCGUAAGAAAGUGACUUCUUCCACCAUUCAAAUCCAGAAGACGAGUGCCCUCGCGUCAAUUGCUGGGGGAUUUGGUAAGAUUUGUUUUCAAUCAGCUUUCGCAAAUGGGUUGAAUUAGUACACAGCCCGUUUCCACCUUAUAUUUCUGCCAAUAAUAAGAAAACAACUUAUAUUACUGGCAUUUCCUCCUUGUGCUUGUCAGUGUUUAGCCUUGACAUAUAAAUCGGUCACUUGUUAAUGAUAAAUACUGAAAAUAAUACUGGGCCUCGGUGGAUAUGGAUCAGACUCGGAGGAAUCUAACGCAUCUAGCAAAUCUAAUAAAGGAUCUGCUGAUGAGGAGGAGGAUGACAGAAAUAGUGCCGACUCUGAUGAGGAACUUUUGGCUCAAAUUGAAAGGAAGAAAAGGAAUUGGGAGUUACAAAAGUUGGAGUUGAACCAUCACUCACGCUCAAGAUCUUCGUCUGUUGUUGAUACUGAGGAAAGUUCUGGCUGGUUUCAAAAUU